AUGGGCUCCGUCGCCGGGGACGCCGUGCGCCUCGCCUACCCGCCCGUCCGCCGCGACGAGUCCGUCGUCGACACCUACCACGGCGCCCAGAUCCCCGACCCCUACCGCUGGCUGGAGGACCCGGACUCGGAGGAGACCAAGGAGUUCGUGGCGGCCCAGGCGGAGCUGGCCGAGUCGGUGCUCGCCGGCUGCGCCGACAGGGAGGGCCUGCGCCGCGAGGUCACGCGCCUCUUCGACCACCCGCGCCACGCCGCGCCCUUCCGCCGCGGCGACAAGUACUUCCACUUCCACAACUCCGGCCUCCAGGCCCAGAGCGUCCUCUACGUGCAGGAUGAUUUGGAAGCAGAGGCGGAGGUCCUCUUGGAUCCAAACACUCUAAGCAAGGAUGGAACUGUUGCUCUUUCAACGUAUUCUAUUAGCGAGGAUGGCAAGUACAUCGCUUACGGGCUAAGUGAGAGUGGCAGUGACUGGAUCACUAUUCGCGUUAUGGGCAUUGCAGACAGGCAGGAUAUGCCUGACAAAUUGUCUUGGGUGAAGUUCUCAUCUAUAAGUUGGACACAUGACGGAAAAGGGUUUUUCUAUGGCCGAUAUCCUGCGCCUGGAGUGGAAUUGGAUGCUGGAACCGAGACAAAUAUCAAUCUUAAUCAUCAGAUAUAUUACCAUAUCUUGGGGUCUGAUCAGUCAGAGGAUAUACUAUGCUGGAAAGAUCCUGAAAACCCCAAACAUUCCCUUGGUGCAUCGGUCACUGAAGAUGGAAAGUACAUCAUACUGGGUACCUAUGAUGGUUGUGAUCCUGUCAACAAGCUAUACUAUUGUGAAAUUUCUUCACUUCCUCAUGGAUUAGAGGGUUUCAGAGAGACAAAGGAAAUGCUUCCAUUUGUCAAGCUUAUAGACAACUUUGAUGCUCAAUAUCAAGUUGUGGCAAACGAUGGUGAUGAAUUUACAUUCCUGACCAAUAAAAAUGCUCCAAAGAAUAAGCUGGUAAGGGUAAAUAUAAAAAAGCCAGAGGCGUGGACUGAUGUUCUUCCUGAGCAUGAAAGAGAUGUGCUUGAGUCAGCUGACGCGGUUAAUGGAAACCAGUUGGUGGUGUGUUACAUGUCAGAUGUUAAACAUACUCUGCAGAUAAGAGACCUUAUAACUGGAAAUUUGCUUCAUCAGUUGCCUCUAGAGAUUGGUUCUGUUUCAGAGAUCUCUUGUAGACGGGAAGACAAGGAAGUUUUUAUUGGCUUCACGAGCUUUCUUUCUCCGGGUAUUAUUUAUAGGUGUAACUUAGCAUCUACAAUCCCUGAAAUGAAGACCUUCCGAGAAAUUUCAGUUCCUGGGUUUGAUCGCACAAGCUUUGAAGUUAAGCAGAUUUUUGUCCCUAGUAAGGAUGGAACCAAGAUUCCCAUGUUCAUAAUGUCGAAGAAAGAUAUCGAACUCGAUGGAUCACAUCCAACUUUGCUAUAUGGUUAUGGUGGAUUCAACAUAAGCAUUACCCCUUCUUUCAGUGUUAGUCGUCUUGUCCUAUGCAAGAACAUGGGUUCUGUUGUCUGCAUUGCGAACAUCCGGGGUGGUGGAGAAUAUGGGGAGGAGUGGCACAAAGCUGGAGCACUUGCAAAGAAACAGAAUUGUUUUGAUGACUUCAUUGCUUGUGCGGAACAACUUAUUUCUUCUGGUUACACAAGUAACAAGAAAAUAUGUAUUGAAGGUGGAAGCAAUGGUGGUCUUCUAAUUGCUGCUUGUAUUAACCAGCGGCCUGACCUUUUUGGGUGUGCCCUGGCUCAUGUUGGUGUCAUGGAUAUGCUUCGGUUUCACAAGUUCACAAUCGGUCAUGCCUGGACUACAGAUUAUGGUUGUUCAGAUAAGGAAGAAGAAUUCGGCUGGCUUAUCAAAUAUUCUCCCCUUCAUAACGUGAAGAGACCUUGGGAGCAAAGCUUUGGUGAUAAUUGUCAGUAUCCAGCAACCAUGCUGUUGACAGCUGAUCAUGAUGAUCGCGUUGUGCCAUUGCACUCGCUGAAGUUGUUGGCUACAAUGCAGCAUGUCUUGUGCACUAGCAUUGAGAACAGCCCGCAGACCAACCCAAUAGUUGGUCGCAUUGACCGCAAGUCAGGGCAUGGAGCUGGCAGGCCGACUAAAAAAUUGAUUGAUGAGGCCGCGGACCGUUACAGUUUUAUGUCGAAGAUGUUGGGCGCUACAUGGACUGAGUAG
Molecule: ribosomal RNA, 2190 nt
Filed under: Triticum aestivum (bread wheat)
Lineage: Eukaryota; Viridiplantae; Streptophyta; Magnoliopsida; Poales; Poaceae
Description: partial small subunit ribosomal RNA
Source: RNAcentral